RNAcentral lists this ribosomal RNA (527 nucleotides) under uncultured bacterium. RNAcentral's name for it is "partial 16S ribosomal RNA". It matches the Rfam family "Bacterial small subunit ribosomal RNA", at positions 354 to 874 of the family's 1533-position model. The record is from RNAcentral.
UGGGGGAAUUUUGGACAAUGGGCGAAAGCCUGAUCCAGCAAUGCCGCGUGUGUGAAGAAGGCCUUCGGGUUGUAAAGCACUUUUGUCCGGAAAGAAAUCCUUGGCUCUAAUACAGUCGGGGGAUGACGGUACCGGAAGAAUAAGCACCGGCUAACUACGUGCCAGCAGCCGCGGUAAUACGUAGGGUGCAAGCGUUAAUCGGAAUUACUGGGCGUAAAGCGUGCGCAGGCGGUUUGCUAAGACCGAUGUGAAAUCCCCGGGCUCAACCUGGGAACUGCAUUGGUGACUGGCAGGCUAGAGUAUGGCAGAGGGGGGUAGAAUUCCACGUGUAGCAGUGAAAUGCGUAGAGAUGUGGAGGAAUACCGAUGGCGAAGGCAGCCCCCUGGGCCAAUACUGACGCUCAUGCACGAAAGCGUGGGGAGCAAACAGGAUUAGAUACCCUGGUAGUCCACGCCCUAAACGAUGUCAACUAGUUGUUGGGGAUUCAUUUCCUUAGUAACGUAGCUAACGCGUGAAGUUGACCGCCU